RNAcentral lists this ribosomal RNA (484 nucleotides) under uncultured bacterium. RNAcentral's name for it is "partial 16S ribosomal RNA". It matches the Rfam family "Bacterial small subunit ribosomal RNA", at positions 30 to 507 of the family's 1533-position model. The record is from RNAcentral.
AUUGAACGCUGGCGGCAGGCCUAACACAUGCAAGUCGAGCGGAUGAAGGGAGCUUGCUCCUGGAUUCAGCGGCGGACGGGCGAGUAAUGCCUAGGAAUCUGCCUGGCAGUGGGGGAUAACGUCCGGAAACGGGCGCUAAUACCGCAUACGUCCUGAGGGAGAAAGUGGGGGAUCUUCGGACCUCACGCUAUCAGAUGAGCCUAGGUCGGAUUAGCUAGUUGGUGGGGUAAAGGCCUACCAAGGCGACGAUCCGUAACUGGUCUGAGAGGAUGAUCAGUCACACUGGAACUGAGACACGGUCCAGACUCCUACGGGAGGCAGCAGUGGGGAAUAUUGGACAAUGGGCGAAAGCCUGAUCCAGCCAUGCCGCGUGUGUGAAGAAGGUCUUCGGGUUGUAAAGCACUUUAAGUUGGGAGGAAGGGCAGUAAGUUAAUACCUUGCUGUUUUGACGGUACCAACAGAAUAAGCACCGGCUAACUUCGUG